Vigna radiata var. radiata (mung bean) is the source of this 1041-nucleotide long non-coding RNA. RefSeq lists it as uncharacterized. Lineage: Eukaryota; Viridiplantae; Streptophyta; Magnoliopsida; Fabales; Fabaceae. The transcript is spliced from 2 exons. The record is from RefSeq and is a predicted model, not a curated record.
UUGUCUCUGUUGUGUUGUUGUUGCAUUGCCAAGUUUUCUUCUUUUGUGCCAAAUCCUUUCACACUGAGCCCCCUUUCCCUGACGCUCACAAUCUCCUCCAUGCUACUUCUAUUUUCCUAUACAAGCAGAUGGGGAUCGAGGGAAUUAGCCCUGAAUUUUUCAUUCUUGAAGCGUCACUUGUCAUGAAAGGUGAGUGCUUUCUUGACCUAAUUCAGAUUCAGAUAAAUCACGUUGGAUUCUUGCAUCAGUUGAAGAAAGCAUUCACAUUCAUGACAAGUGAUUUCACAAGAAUAUGUCAACCGAAUUACUUACGCCACUUUCAUAAGGCUUUGUCAACAAAGCCUGAUAUGGUAAUGUACAGCACAAUUAUUCACACUAUAUUCAAAGGUAGAGUUGCAGACGACGGUUAUGGUUUGUAUUCUGAAAUUAUUGCCAAGGGAAUUUUUCAUAAUCUUUAGAUCUAUAAUGGUCUAGUUUAUGGCUUUUUUAUUGCUGAUAAUUUACUAGAAGCUAUUGGUUUUGUAAAUGAAAUGAUAUUGAACCGUCUCGGACUGAGAAGGUGGAUAGCCGGAAUGUGAUCGAUCCGGCUUUAGAAGAACCUUAAUCAAAAUAAUGAUUAAUAUUAAGUUGAGAUUGGGUCUUCACCGAUCCAUCGGUACACCAACUAUCUGUAUAUAGACAGAAGAGGAGGAAAGGGAAAAAAAAGAUGGUCGGAGUAUUAUUUUGACAGUUACCGCUUACAGUAACGAUUAAUGGACUAACUAAAGAGGGGAUGAGGCCAUGAAUCUUAUGCACGGAGUAAUAUGGUUCCUGAGAUAGUGAUUUAUACUUCUCUUAUCGAUGGUUUAUGCAAAUGUGAAAGAAUCUCUUUAUUGAUGAGAUGCAUGAUUGAAAUAAAAAACCAGAUAGCUUAUCUGUAUUGUAGUAAUGAUUUUGAUGUAUUGUUGUGUUUUACAUCUAUUACCAUAGAAAUUGUAGUAGGGUGAAAGACAAGAUCGCAUUAAUUUAUAGUAACCAAAAUAAUGUUAUUCUUCCUGUUUC